RNAcentral lists this transfer-messenger RNA (391 nucleotides) under Micrococcaceae. Its description in RNAcentral is "Arthrobacter luteus_A Standard tmRNA". It matches the Rfam family "transfer-messenger RNA". From Rfam's summary of the family: Bacterial tmRNA, also known as 10Sa RNA or SsrA, is named for its dual tRNA and mRNA-like properties. RNAcentral also lists the same sequence under 1 other name. The record is from RNAcentral. Lineage: Bacteria; Bacillati; Actinomycetota; Actinomycetes; Micrococcales.
GGGGGUGAUUUGGUUUCGAUACCACCUGAUCAUUCCGAAAAGAAGCGGGUCCAGAAACGCACGGUCAUCUGGCUAAACAGUCCGGGCAACCAAGAGAUGCCAACGCAACUCGCUCUGACCUCGCUCUCGCCGCUUAGCCGGCCGGAGACCAAACCGGGGUCUGUCUCAAACCGCAUCAGGCAGCUGGUUCUCGGCCGCGGUUUAGGCAUCAGCCAAAGGAGACCUGGAUGACGGCAGCGCUGCGCGCCGGCAUCCGUACCAGCAGCUAGACCGGGACGGUCCGUUGUCCGCCAUGGACCGGCCGGGUCGAUAAGCACCAAGGUGGACUACACCCGUAGAAGAGUUCGGAAGCAGGGGGUACACGAGGGUUCGAUCCCCUCCACCUCCACGA